This 459-nucleotide ribosomal RNA is filed under the name uncultured bacterium. RNAcentral describes it as "partial 16S ribosomal RNA". It matches the Rfam family "Bacterial small subunit ribosomal RNA", at positions 338 to 795 of the family's 1533-position model. The record is from RNAcentral.
UCUACGGGAGGCAGCAGUGAGGAAUAUUGGUCAAUGGCCGAGAGGCUGAACCAGCCAAGUCGCGUGAGGGAAGACGGCCCUACGGGUUGUAAACCUCUUUUGUCGGGGAGCAAAGCGAACCACGUGUGGUUCCUUGCGAGUACCCGAAGAAAAAGCAUAGGCUAACUCCGUUCCAGCAGACGCGGUAAUACGGAGGAUGCGAGCGUUAUACGGAUUUAUUGGGUUUAAAGAGUGCGCAGGGGGAGGUGCAAGUCAGCGGUCAAAUUGCGGGGCUCAACCCCGUACGGCCGUGGAAAAUGCAGCCCUUGAGUGCGCGAGAAGUAUGCGGAAUGCGUGGUGUAGCGGUGAAAUGCAUAGAUAUCACGCAGAACUCCGAUUGCGAAGGCAGCAUACCGGCGCGCAACUGACGCUCAUGCACGAAAGCGUGGGUAUCGAACAGGAUUAGAUACCCUAGUAGUC